Molecule: long non-coding RNA, 392 nt
Filed under: Homo sapiens (human)
Lineage: Eukaryota; Metazoa; Chordata; Mammalia; Primates; Hominidae
Description: HSALNT0401220
Source: RNAcentral
AGAUGGAAUCUUGCUCUGUGGCCUGAGCUGGAGUACGGUGGCACAAUCUUGGUUCACUACAACCUCCACCUCCUGGGUUCAAGCAAUUCCCCUGCCUCAGCUUCUGGAGUAGCUAGGAUUACAGGCGUGCCCCACCAUGCCCAGCUAAUUUUUGUAUUUUUAGUAGAGACAGGGUUUUGCCAUGUUGGCCAGGCCAGUCUCGAACUCCUGACCUCAGGUGAUCCACCCACCUUGGCCUCCCAAAGUGCUGGGGUUACAGGUGUGAGCCACUGCGCCUGCAAUGCCCGGCCUGCAUUAUAAAUAUUUGUUCAUAAUGUGUUGCUAACAGUGACAAUCAAUAAGAAUCAACUGGGUUUGUUCCCCAGCCUGUUUAGUUUUAUUAUUGUGAUUAC